This 69-nucleotide small RNA is filed under the name Sinorhizobium meliloti 2011. RNAcentral describes it as "putative ncRNA". Lineage: Bacteria; Pseudomonadati; Pseudomonadota; Alphaproteobacteria; Hyphomicrobiales; Rhizobiaceae. The record is from RNAcentral.
AGGACGUGAAGACGAAGCACGAGACGUAGAAGGUUCCGAAGGCGACCUGAUAGGACACGCUUUUCGGUA